GUUAAAUUGCAAUACUAUUUUCCAUUGCAGUACUAGAAAUGCUUAUUUGUUUAUGUUUUGCAGUACAUCUAUAACGUUUUUUUCUUGCAUUACGGUAUUGGAAGUUAAAGAAGGAUUGUCAUGAAAAUCAAGUCACUACAAAAAAAACAAAACAAUGGUCUUUAAAUGUGCUGCUUUUUUCAUUAUUUGUAUUUUAUUUUUAUUAUUAUUUUACAUUAUUUUUGGGGGGUGAAAUAUGACCAGGGCAUGUUCUUGAUGGGCUUCAUGAGAUGCACCAAUAAUGAAGUAAUUUCAUUUUUAUUUUUACACUGGAUAAUUUACCUGUGGAGCUGUUAAUGACAAACGUAUUAAAACAGCACGUCAUUUUUAAAAUGUAAGCUUUUAUGAAUCAAAGGGAAAAAAUUAAAUUUUACAUGCAUGUAAAAUCAAUUAUAAUAAAAAAAAAAAAAAAUGAAACCAACAAAUGCACCUUCCAGAAAUACACAAUUAGAACACAAUCUGCAGGGAGAGAAGCAGUUCGAGCCACAGUAUGAGUGAAAGCCUGUAAAGGAGCUAUUUAAUCAGGUUAGUUACUUUAACUACCAGAUCUUAUUGAAUCACUAUGUUUACCAUUUGGUUUGGUUUAGGGCCCUGUUUUAAUUCUCAAGCUUCCAUGUUCCUAACAGUUACUGCUGAACCUUUAAUACAAUGCACAUAUUUUGUUCAAUUGGGUCGCGGUGUCUUACACGGUACAGGCUUAUUCAGGUGAAUCUGGUGCUGAACCAUAUUCCUCGCAGAUUUCAUAGGCGUUUUCCUUCAGAUUCCCAAAUCCGAUGUUGUCGUGGUGCUCUUCGCAACCUGGAAAACCAGCACACGCUUGUACAUACAAACACACUGAUUAAAAGAUGUGCACACACUGGGAAAAUGUAAGAUCACAAAACGACAAAGAACUACUGGGCAACUUCAACUCAUCCUUUUGUUUCUCUUUUAUUCCUUUGUAUAUGUUUUUUUUCUUCUCUGUACUGUGAAUGGUAGUCUCUCUCAGACUGUAUAAUUGUGUAUAUAAUUUGGGUUAUUUAUCAUUUUAAUUUUCUGUCUUUUUUUAAUUUCUUUUGGUUUGUUGUCGUUAUUGUUGUUG
Sinocyclocheilus anshuiensis is the source of this 1117-nucleotide long non-coding RNA. RefSeq lists it as uncharacterized. The record is from RefSeq and is a predicted model, not a curated record. NCBI's taxonomy places the organism in Eukaryota, Metazoa, Chordata, Actinopteri, Cypriniformes, Cyprinidae. The transcript is spliced from 3 exons.